CCUUCGGGUUCGAGUGGCAGUCGGUUGAGUAACGCGUGUGUGACGUACCCGUUGGUGGGGAAUAACUACCCGAAAGGGUGUCUAAUUCCGCAUACGUCCGCUGUUUCGUGAUGGUGGAGAAAGUCGCAAGACGCCGAUGGAGUGGCCCGCGUUAGAUUAGCUGGUUGGUGGGGUAACGGCCUACCAAGGCGACGAUGGAUAGCUGGUCUCAGAGGAUGCUCAGCCAGACUGGGACUGAGACACGGCCCAGUCUCCUACGGGACGCAGCAGUUAGGAAUUCUGGGCAAUGGGCGCAAGCCUGACCCAGCAACGCCGCGUGGGUGAGGAAGGCGUUCGGG
RNAcentral lists this ribosomal RNA (338 nucleotides) under uncultured bacterium. Its description in RNAcentral is "bacterial SSU rRNA". It matches the Rfam family "Bacterial small subunit ribosomal RNA", at positions 77 to 422 of the family's 1533-position model. The record is from RNAcentral.